This 164-nucleotide ribosomal RNA is filed under the name uncultured bacterium. RNAcentral's name for it is "partial 16S ribosomal RNA". It matches the Rfam family "Bacterial small subunit ribosomal RNA", at positions 355 to 511 of the family's 1533-position model. The record is from RNAcentral.
UAGGGAAUCUUCCACAAUGAACGAAAGUCUGAUGGAGCAACGCCGCGUGAGUGAAGAAGGGUUUCGGCUCGUAAAACUCUGUUGUUAAAGAAGAACAUAUCUGAGAGUAACUGUUCAGGUAUUGACGGUAUUUAACCAGAAGGCCACGGCUAACUACGUGCCAG